Molecule: ribosomal RNA, 304 nt
Filed under: uncultured Hyphomicrobiales bacterium
Lineage: Bacteria; Pseudomonadati; Pseudomonadota; Alphaproteobacteria; Hyphomicrobiales
Description: bacterial SSU rRNA
Rfam family: Bacterial small subunit ribosomal RNA
Source: RNAcentral
UGGCUCAGAACGAACGCUGGCGGCAGGCCUAACACAUGCAAGUCGAGCGCCGUAGCAAUACGGAGCGGCAGACGGGAGAGUAACACGUGGGAACGUGCCCUUCAGUUCGGAACAACCCAGGGAAACUUGGGCUAAUACCGGAUACGUCCGUAAGGAGAAAGAUUUAUCGCUGAAGGAUCGGCCCGCGUCUGAUUAGCUAGUUGGUGAGGUAACGGCUCACCAAGGCGGCGAUCAGUAGCUGGUCUGAGAGGAUGAUCAGCCUCACUGGGACUGAGACACGGCCCAGAGACCUACGGGAGGCAGC